RNAcentral lists this non-coding RNA (95 nucleotides) under bovine gut metagenome. RNAcentral describes it as "Glycine riboswitch". It matches the Rfam family "Glycine riboswitch aptamer", at positions 9 to 86 of the family's 94-position model. From Rfam's summary of the family: This family represents the bacterial glycine riboswitch. Glycine riboswitches usually consist of two metabolite-binding aptamers domains with similar structures in tandem. The aptamers cooperatively bind glycine to regulate the expression of downstream genes. The record is from RNAcentral.
GUAGCUCUGGAGAAUCUCGCGAUCGAGUACCGAAGGUGCAAGGCUGAGCCGUAAAUGCGGCGCAUGCUGAAUCUCUCAGGUAAAAGGACAGGGUG